This 117-nucleotide ribosomal RNA is filed under the name Chloroflexota bacterium. Lineage: Bacteria; Bacillati; Chloroflexota. The record is from RNAcentral.
CUUGGUGACAGGAGCGGCGGAGGUACACCCGGCAACAUCCCGAACCCGGCAGUUAAGCCCGCCAGCGCCGAUGGUACUUGGGGGGCAGCCCCCUGGGAGAGUAGGUCGUCGCCAAGA